Molecule: non-coding RNA, 68 nt
Organism: Podarcis lilfordi (Lilford's wall lizard)
Lineage: Eukaryota; Metazoa; Chordata; Lepidosauria; Squamata; Lacertidae
Source: the annotation of a GenBank genome assembly
GCUGUAGCUUAGUGGUAGAACAUUUGAUUGCAUGCAGAAGAUCCCAGGUUCAAUCCCUGGCAUCUCCA